RNAcentral lists this ribosomal RNA (182 nucleotides) under Cortinarius anisatus. Its description in RNAcentral is "partial 28S ribosomal RNA". It matches the Rfam family "Eukaryotic large subunit ribosomal RNA", at positions 1 to 176 of the family's 3401-position model. The record is from RNAcentral. Lineage: Eukaryota; Fungi; Basidiomycota; Agaricomycetes; Agaricales; Cortinariaceae.
AUGUGACCUCAAAUCAGGUAGGACUACCCGCUGAACUUAAGCAUAUCAAUAAGCGGAGGAAAAGAAACUAACAAGGAUUCCCCUAGUAACUGCGAGUGAAGCGGGAAAAGCUCAAAUUUAAAAUCUGGCAGUCUUUUGGCUGUCCGAGUUGUAAUCUAGAGAAGUGCUAUCCGCGCUGGACC